Molecule: ribosomal RNA, 476 nt
Filed under: uncultured actinomycete
Lineage: Bacteria; Bacillati; Actinomycetota; Actinomycetes; Actinomycetales
Description: bacterial SSU rRNA
Rfam family: Bacterial small subunit ribosomal RNA
Source: RNAcentral
GCCGCGGUAAGACGUAGGGCGCGAGCGUUGUCCGGAUUUAUUGGGCGUAAAGAGCUCGUAGGCGGCUUGUCGCGUCGAAUGUGAAAUCUCGGGGCUCAACUCCGAGCUUGCAUUCGAUACGGGCAGGCUAGAGUUCGGUAGGGGAGACUGGAAUUCCUGGUGUAGCGGUGAAAUGCGCAGAUAUCAGGAGGAACACCGAUGGCGAAGGCAGGUCUCUGGGCCGAUACUGACGCUGAGGAGCGAAAGCGUGGGGAGCGAACAGGAUUAGAUACCCUGGUAGUCCACGCUGUAAACGUUGGGCGCUAGGUGUGGGGACCCUCUCCGGGUUUCUGCGCCGCAGCUAACGCAUUAAGCGCCCCGCCUGGGGAGUACGGCCGCAAGGCUAAAACUCAAAGGAAUUGACGGGGGCCCGCACAAGCGGCGGAGCAUGCGGAUUAAUUCGAUGCAACGCGAAGAACCUUACCUGGGUUUGACAU